AUGUUUGUUACUGCAGGCUCUUGA
This 24-nucleotide non-coding RNA is filed under the name Rattus norvegicus (Norway rat). The record is from RNAcentral. Lineage: Eukaryota; Metazoa; Chordata; Mammalia; Rodentia; Muridae.